AGUGAACGCUGGCGGCGUGCUUAACACAUGCAAGUCGAACGAGAACGGAUUAUAGCUUGCUGUAAUUGUCAGCUAAGUGGCGCACGGGUGAGUAAUGUAUAGGUAAUAUGCCUCUUACUAAGGGAUAACAAAUGGAAACGUUUGCUAAUACCUUAUACUCCUUAUUAACAGAAGUUAAUAAGGGAAAGAUUUAUUGGUAAGAGAUUAGCCUGUAUUGUAUCAGUUAGUUGGUGGGGUAAUGGCUUACCAAGACUAUGACACAUAACUGGUCUGAGAGGAUGAUCAGUCACACUGGAACUGAGACACGGUCCAGACUCCUACGGGAGGCAGCAGUGGGGAAUAUUGCACAAUGGACGAAAGUCUGAUGCAGCAACGCCGCGUGGAGGAUGACACAUUUCGGUGCGUAAACUCCUUUUAUAUGAGAAGAUAAUGACGGUAUUAUAUGAAUAAGCACCGGCUAACUCCGUGCCAGCAGCCGCCGUAA
Molecule: ribosomal RNA, 484 nt
Filed under: uncultured bacterium
Lineage: Bacteria
Description: partial 16S ribosomal RNA
Rfam family: Bacterial small subunit ribosomal RNA
Source: RNAcentral